Non-coding RNA from Pelobates cultripes (western spadefoot toad), 817 nucleotides. Lineage: Eukaryota; Metazoa; Chordata; Amphibia; Anura; Pelobatidae. The record is from the annotation of a GenBank genome assembly.
CCGAGGAGGAGGACCACGAGGGAGCUCAGUGUUCCAGCUCCUCACUGCUCCCUCGCGCGCGCCGACCAAAGUGAAGCCGGGUGCCGGGAUAUGACGUAUAUUCCGGCACCCAGCAUCACUAAACGGCACGCGGGAGCAAUGAGGAGCAGGAAGGACCCCAGGGAGAUGCCCCACAUCAGCUCCAAAAGGUAAGGAGCAAUAAUGAAAAGUAUGUGUGUAAGUGUGUGAGUCUGUCAGUCAUUGAGUAUGUGUGUGUGUCUGUCAGUGUGUGUGUUUGUCUGUCAGUCAGUGAGUGUGUGUAUGUCAGUGUGUGUCUGUCAGUGAGUGUGUGUGUGUCUGUCAGCAAGUAUAUGUGUGUCUGUCACUGAGUGUGUGUGUAUCUGUAUGUGUGUCUGUCUGUCAUUGAGUAUGUGUGUGUGUCUGUCAGUGUGUGUGUUUGUCUGUCAGUCAGUGAGUGUGUGUGUGUCAGUGUGUGUCUGUCAGUGAGUGUGUGUGUGUCUGUCAGCAAGUAUAUGUGUGUCUGUCUCUGAGUGUGUGUGUGUGUGUAUCUGUAUGUGUGUCUGUCUGUCAGUGAGUAUGUGUGUGUGUCUGUCAGUGUGACUGUGUGUGUGUCUGUGAGUGUGUGUGUCUGUCAGUGAGUAUGUGUGUGUGUGUGUGUCUGUAUGUGUCUGUCUGUAAGUAUGUAUGUGUGUCUGUCAGUGAGUAUGUGCGUGUGUGUGUCUGUCAGUGUGUCUGUCAGUAUGUGUGUCUGUCUGUCAGUCAGUGAGUGUGUGUGUGUGUCUGUCAGCAAGUAUGUGUGUGUCUGUCAGUGAGUGUG